CUAAUGCAUUUUCUUUAUUCUUUCUAGCCCCAAGCUAUUUGUUUCUGCAUUUGUCCCUGGUUUUCUGGUUUCCCUUCACUCGACUGCUUACUUAUCUGGUCGUGUUUGCAUGCAGUCCUGCCGAAGCAGAGAGCUAGAGAGUAAGCAUUUCUGACUUGGGGCUGGCCUCCUGCUGGGGAACCAAUUAAAUGAACUACCCACCAGGGAGAGUGUGAUAUUUUUUAUUACUUUCUAAUUUCGGGCCCUGAAAUGGCUUCAGUGAUCAGAACAUUCUUCUGCUUAAGAACCUAAAGGAGCCGGUGCGAUGAUGCUUUUGAUUUGGAUUUCAUUUAUAAUGGUCCAUAUUCGCCAAGCAUCCUCCAAGGAUUUCCGUGGGGCCUCAGAUUCUUGAAGUGGGGAAAAAGCAGGACAAAGAAAACCACAACAAAACUUUCUCCCUAUUUUACCUUAUCGCACUGGAAACCACCAGCUACUUUGGGAAAGUCUUUCUUUGAGAAGUCGGGUGAAGGGAGAAAGAAAGAGAAGAAUUAGCACAAAACAAUUUCUCUGGAUUCUAAGUCUAUUUAAACUACAAAAGUAAAUCACAAUCCUGCCUCUUUCUCAUUACUGAGGGCCUGAGAGCAGGGCCUCUGAAAUGCUCUUUAAGGUGAAAGGAAGAGUUGCAUUUUAUUUCUAAAUACAUUCACAGGAGUCCGCCCCCACCCCAAAGGUUCUCACUGCUGUUUGAUUCACGCCUCUUUUUCUUUCUUAAAGAGUUAGUGCAAGAGGAAAAGGGAAGACAUGAAAAAGAGGUGGGGGUGGUUGGGGGGUGGGGAGGGCUGAAAUAGGUUCUAACGAGGAAGAAGGAAAUGAAAGUCCAAUUCUCCAUGAAUAUCUGAAUUUCUAUUUAUUUAUCUUUGCAACAGGAAGGAUGCCUUAAAAUCCAGCUUUGCUCUUGGAUAAAAUCAAAUACUAACAACCCAGCAAAACAGCUAAAAGCCCAAAUUAUAAGCUGUUUCAAAUCCUUCCCACUUUCCACGGGGUCUUGGCUGAGGGGCUUUUUUCUUUUUUCUUUCUUUCUUCCCUGGCUUGCUUGCUUAGCUAGAGGUAGUUCUGAAUGUUUAUCUGAAGUAUCUCCCUAAUAUUCUGAGGGGACUUUUCUCUCGAGCAAAAGCUCCCCUGAAAACAGGGGCUUGUUUCAAUUCCCAUUAAAUUUUGCUCCGUGUUGAGUCUUUUACUAGUGAAUGGCUUUAGUGACACUGACGACAAAAGCUGACAUAGAUACCUGUGCUCAGUGACAACUUUUAUAAAAUGUGAUUCAAAAAUUAACAUUUAUAAUUUUAUAAUAAGCCAGCUACCACAUUUGCUAUUAUAGGGUGAUCUGUUAAAACUCCUUUCCUACUUUUAAAUAGAAGUCCCAGAAGAGCAAAAAUGUUUAUCUUUAUUGUUUAUAGCCCUGUUAAGUACCACUUUAUCAUAUGAUUUAAAAUUCAACAAUAUAACUUAGCAGUCAGUAUUUAUUUACGUAAAGAAAGGGUAAGUGUUUCUUCAGAGUUUGUCUAAAUUUAAAAUCAGAAACCAAAUCACCUCUCGUUCAUUCUUUUUCUUCCUUCUUCCCUCUCCCUGCCUUCUUUCCUUCCUUCCUUUCUUCCAUUCAUUUUAAAACCCAGUAACUGCAUAUUGUUGGGUCUAAAAAUCCCAUAAAAAUUCAACUUCCUUCAGGAACAAAUAGCUGUCAAUUAUUUGAAAAGACCAACUUCAAAAAUUUGACAUGUCUUUCUGGAGGAUAUAUAUCUUUUGAGUGAAAAGGCAAUGUUCCAGAUCGAAAUAUAGUCCAGGUCUACACUGGCAAAGAGAAUCAAACUAAUAAACAAUGGAUAGAAACAUGAAUGCAUGAAUGAGGGGAUACUCAGGCAGACAUAAAGCAGAAUCAAAAUACUCAACACAUCCAGUUAAUUCACGAGGUUGGCCUACAACUGAGCCAACACUCACUGGACAACCUUCUACAAGAGACAACAGAUUGUUAGCCUCUGGGAAGUAGCACUAUUUUAAUCAACCAAUUUGGCAUGUUGUGUUUUACAGUUUCUAAAAUUAACACGGACUCCAAAUAAAAGCACGGCCGGUGUGGAACUAUAUGCAAAGGACACCGUCACCUGGUUGCUUUGACUCUGUUCUUUAUCAGAAUAAGCUGCCUUGUUUGUCCAGCCCCAUUUUUGAAGACAUGAUUCAUUAACCAAUCUGUCAUUUUGUGUCGGUAAUGACUGACUUUUCCAGGAUUCUCAUUUAAAAUACGAGCUCGGUAGGAGUCCCAAAGCGGGGCGCUGGAGGAGGGGGAUGGCGGAGGCGGAAGGAUGGAGAUUCCAUAGGUAGGAUUCAGUAUUGCUUGUAGCUACAGUCCUUGCUACAGCAAAGACAGCAUGUGGAAACAGUGCCAGGUUUUCCCUUUGCAUUGAGCAAAGCUAAAUUCUUCUGGGCUUGGCUGAAGAAUUUUCUUCACAAUAACUGCAUGACUUGUGAAGCUGACUUCUAACCAGAUGCUGGGCCCAGCGUACAUCGAUGUUUAACUCAUUAUGCUCCUCCAAUCUGCCUUCUUCUCCAACCCAUUCUCUUUGGGAGGGUAAAAAGGAGUGAGGGUUUCUUUGUAAGUCACUUUGAUUUCACACAGUUUGGGUGAACAGAUCCAUGCCACUCCGAAGAGAAAUAAGUGGGGAGGGGAGGGAGGAGGAGAAGGGAGAACUCAAGGCGGAUGAUAGAAAAACAAGCCAAAGAAUAGUUAAGGAGGAUGCAUUUUCCCAAAGAGACUUCUGGUUGCCACCUAAACUGAAGCCAUCACUGAAGCAUUCUUGCGGCAGAUGCUUCCUGGGGGUGUGUGUGCUAUUUUCAGAAAACACAUCCCAUGAAGGCCUUUGCAGGAAGCAAAUUCAAUGUCAAAGGAGCCACAACAGAUACUUAAAAUUCUGUCUUUCACACCCUGCCUGGCCACUUAAACAUGCUUAUUAAAAAUUUCCUCCGUCCUCUCUAACAUAUACAACUUUCCAAGGCAAAGAAUGACUUUUUAGAGUCUCGGUGUGCCCAUAAAAUUCUGUCUCGGAGAGUUUAUUAAUAAUCAUAAAAACAUCAGUAUCCAUCAGGAUCACUUCGCAAAGGGAGAGGCAGCUUUUCCUAAAAGUGUGCUCAAAUUGUCUAAGACCGAUGUCGACAUGAAAAGGGGGUUAACCUGAUGCUGAUGAUGGGUCAACCUCUCCGCUUCCCUGUUCACCAGCAAGGACAGGCCGGCUGGAAGCUCAGGCAAGCCUGCUUGGUCGGAAGCCGGCACCCACGCCUGCCACCAGCAGCAGGUCCCCAUGGAAGGAGACGUUCCGACCAACCUCCACAGCCGCAGACUGUGUAUUUAUGCACAACACAGGGGGCAGGGGAGGGGAGGGGACUGGGGUUCAGCACUACAUAUUUUUUUAUGGCAUGAGGCUGUGUUUCUGGGGACUUUGAGAAGUCCAGGGUGAAGUGCUUUAAACGGUUAUUUGAUGAAUCCCCAGCCAGCUCUAAGCAUGGCAGGACAGCCCUGGCUUGUUGAUGUCGAUGAAGAGCAACCAAAGUAGCAAACAGUGAAAUGAUGCCUACAGAGGGAUUCAUAGGGUGGUCUGCUUGGCUCACCUCUCAGAGAAGCUUGAUCACGUGAUCUUGGUCCUUCUUCCCCCAACCGCGCUCUCUCCCUUUUGCUUUUCACAUGGUACCUUAAGCCCUGCAGUCAGGCAAAACUUUGAUCAUAGAAAUUUGAAACUCUAAUGACCAAAAAUUCAUGAGGGCCUUUGGGGGAAGGGGUGUACCACACAAGGCAAGGGCCCCACCAACUGGAGAAUUAUUGAGAAGCGAUCAACUGAUCUCAUUAGCCAUCAGUAUCCAGGCAGGCUGGGGUAGCUUCUAGGAUGGGGGUUCUGGAGGCAUUGAGGUUGAACUCUGUCCAGUUACUUGACCUCUUUGCACCUUACUUUCCUCUUAUGCAAAAGUUAGGAAGAUGAUAUCUACCUUAAUGAGCUGCUAGGCUUUUCGGAACACAUCGUGUACAGUAGGCUCUUGCUACAGUGCCUGGUGUCUAUUCGGCUCUCACAAUAUGCUGUUGUCCUCGUAAUCACAGCCAGGGAAUGUUUUGUGAUUACCCGCUCUAACAAAAACGGUUCCUUCUGGAGUUCCCACGGGGGCUCAGUGGUAAUGAACCCAACUAGUAUCCUUGAGGAUUCGGGUUUGAUCCCUGACCUUGCUCACUGGAUUAAGGAUCCGGCGUUGUGUGAACUGUGGUGUAAGUUGCAGACUCGGUUCAGAUUCCGCUUUGCUGUGGCUGGGCAGCUGCAGCUCCAAUUCGACCCCCUAGCCUGGGAACUCCCAUAUGUUGCAGGUGCAGUC
This 4377-nucleotide long non-coding RNA is filed under the name Sus scrofa (pig). RNAcentral's name for it is "lncRNA (ENSSSCG00000059418.1)". The record is from RNAcentral. Lineage: Eukaryota; Metazoa; Chordata; Mammalia; Artiodactyla; Suidae.